This is a non-coding RNA of Arabidopsis suecica, 77 nucleotides long. Lineage: Eukaryota; Viridiplantae; Streptophyta; Magnoliopsida; Brassicales; Brassicaceae. The record is from the annotation of a GenBank genome assembly.
CGGCUGUGAAGAUAAAUGCGCCAUAAUGGUGAUUGGGUCAUCACCUUCUUCUGAUAUACCAUAAGACAUCUGAGCAU